ACUAUUCAAAAAAAAAAAACUAAAAAUAUUUCGUUGUUGCUGAACUGAAGAUAAAAUACCUGAGAAGCUAUUAAUAUGUAUUUUUAUGAGAAGCACGGUCGUCUGGGUUCUGACACCGGGUAGUUCUGUAGUUAUAACCCAAAAGUCCAAAGGGGGCAAAGAAAAAUGCAUUAAAAUAAAAUUAUUGGAGUGUGGGCUCCUGUAUUUGUUCCAACGGCUAUUGUUGUUGAAAACGAUUGUUAAUGGUUUCUUAAAAGGCACUUGAAAUAAAGGGUAAAGUUGUACCUGCCUUUAACUAAUUGAGCACCAAGCUAUUAAGACAUGAAGGAGAGGUAUAUCUCCACCUUUCUUGACCUCACUACUAGAUGGUGAGUGGUCAGCUUCAUGCAUCGGCUGUUUUAACCCUGAAACUUGUUGGAUAGAAGGCUGGGUGGGCCCCAGAGGCGGCCUGAACGUUGUGGAUUAGAAAGAAGCCACUUGCCCCUACUGGGAAUCAAAGCUCAAUGGACCGUUGAGCCUGCAGCCCAUCUCUGUACCCACUUAGCUAUCCCAGCUCUCAGGCGUUGGAAGUAGCUUCCUGGAAAUGAAUCACUCUGAAAGUAAACAAACAGCAUCUACCUGAGUCUAUCCCAAUUUCUGGCCCCAUCUCAUGAUGUACUACUGUUGUAGUGAAGGCAGAAUUAGCAAUCGUGCAAAGUGUAGUUCCCUGACUGUGAGACAAAUAUGUCACUUUACUUCUGGCCCAAUACUCCAAUGCUUAUACUGCUCUUGGCCGUGGCUGGAUCUCAUCUGUCUUCGGUGACGGCUAUCCCGAUACUGUCUCCAAGUCCAAGUCACAUUGCGACUGACGGCUAUGUGUGAGAAUAGUAUGAAGGUUUAUCCUAUGCGACUUCAGCCAGGAACUGAAAUUAAAUCAAGUCUAGUUGAGUUUGUAACAUCCAGACAGCUGAAUGCUGCCUUUGUUCUCACUUGUUGUGGCAGUGUAAUAAAAGCAACACUUCGUUUUGCUACGUGUCCUGAUCAGACACAUCAGAUACAUACACUGAACAAAUGUUUUGAAAUUACUUCACUGGUUGGAACAAUCUGCAAAGAUGGUGCUCAUCUCCAUAUAACACUGGGUGACAGUGAUGGAAACACAGUGGCAGGACAUGUUGUGGGGGAUCUUAUUGUUCAGACAACAGCAGAAAUAGUUUUAGGAGAAGUCUGUGAUGUGCAGUUCAAGAGAGAGUUUGAUAAAGCAACGGGUUUUCCAGAAUUAGUCAUCUCCAAACACGAAAUGAUGAAAUAGUUACAGAACUGAAUGCUACAAUGUACUUUUAACUGUUUCACUGUCAAGUUUCAGUACAUUUAUUGUCUUGAUGUAUGCCAUAUAAACCCUGAAUAUAUAAGUUUUAAAUAUA
RNA transcript from Cryptotermes secundus, 1400 nucleotides. It is a transcript of the gene named bifunctional protein GlmU-like, with no coding region annotated. Lineage: Eukaryota; Metazoa; Arthropoda; Insecta; Blattodea; Kalotermitidae. The transcript is spliced from 4 exons. The record is from RefSeq and is a predicted model, not a curated record.